Molecule: long non-coding RNA, 608 nt
Organism: Phascolarctos cinereus (koala)
Lineage: Eukaryota; Metazoa; Chordata; Mammalia; Diprotodontia; Phascolarctidae
Source: RefSeq, a predicted model, not a curated record
UUUGCUCCUAUAGCUGGUCUUUGGUUCCCUUAUUUGAUUUCUUAAUUGGAUCAUGCCAAAGACAGACUAGAAAGAAAAAGAAGAAUCUGAAGCAGUUGUGCAGUACUAAGAGUUAGAGACCUUGGUACUCAGAAGCCUGGUCAUCACGUUAUGGGAGGGAUAUCCCUGUCAGAAUCCUAGACUGCCUUCCUGGACCAAAUACUAGCUUGAUAUCUUAAAGUUGCAUCAUAAAGUACUUCAACCAAAGUUUCACUUAUGAAGAUUAGAGCCUAUUUGAGAAAUUCUCCACAAGUCCAAGGAAAUGAAAUUGGCUCAGACUGACUUAAAGCCAGGAGAUUUUUGAACAAGUUACAAAGUAAGAAAAGGAUAUAUUUGGUGGAAAGGAGGCAUCAAAGGCCCUCUGCCGUGGGCUAGUAAGCAGAAUACCGAAUUUGGAGUCAAGAGAUCUGAGUUUCAAUGCUUAAUAUCCACUUAACAUCUGUGUUACUGACUGUAAAGAAGGCAGGAGGCUUUCACUGCAGCUUCUUGAUUCUUUGCCAGCACCGUGUGGAGAAGGGUCUGUUCUGUGACAUUGAAAACUGGAAUGUUACAAAGGCAUGGUCCGCUCC